AAUAUUUGACAAUGGGGGCAACCCUGAUCCAGUCAUGCCGCGUGUGUGAAGAAGGUCUUCGGAUUGUAAAUCACUUCAUGUUGGGAGGAAGGGCUUUAGGUUAAUACCCUGCAAUUUUGACGUUACCAAUAGAAUAUGCACCGUCUAACUUCGUUCCAGCAGCCGCGGUAAUACAGAGGGUGCAAGCGUUAAUCGGAAUUACUGGGCGUAAAGCGCGCGUAGGUGGUUCAGUAAGAUGGGUGUGAAAUCCCCGGGCUUAACCUGGGAACUGCUUUCAUAACUGCUGAGCUAGAGUACGGUAGAGGGUAGUGGAAUUUCCUGUGUAGCGGUGAAAUGCGUAGAUAUAGGAAGGAACACCAGUGGCGAAGGCGACUACCUGGACUGAUACUGACACUGAAGUGCGAAAGCGUGGGGAGCAAACA
Molecule: ribosomal RNA, 422 nt
Filed under: uncultured bacterium
Lineage: Bacteria
Description: partial 16S ribosomal RNA
Rfam family: Bacterial small subunit ribosomal RNA
Source: RNAcentral